AGCCGCGGUAACACCAGCUCCACAAGCGUAUAUUAAUGUUGUUGCAGUUAAAAAGCUCGUAGUUGGAUAUCUGUCAUGGUGGGCCUGGCCCAAUGACCGUUUGGUCGUUGUGUGCCGGCAGUCUUCGGACGUGCUCGCUUGACAUCCUUCAGGAGAACCGUUCUGCCAUUAAUUUGGUUGGGGCGAGGAUCCUGAUCGUUUACUUUGAACAAAUUAGAGUGUUUAACGCAGGCUUUUGUCGCGAAUAGAUUAGCAUGGAAUAAUAAGAUAGGACUUCGGCACCGCUUCUGGUCGAUAUCUAUUUUGUGGUUUCUAGAGCUGAAGUAAUGAUUGAUAGGGAUAGUUGGGGGUGCUUGUAUUGCCGGG
Molecule: ribosomal RNA, 366 nt
Filed under: uncultured eukaryote
Lineage: Eukaryota
Description: bacterial SSU rRNA
Rfam family: Eukaryotic small subunit ribosomal RNA
Source: RNAcentral